RNAcentral lists this ribosomal RNA (434 nucleotides) under uncultured bacterium. RNAcentral's name for it is "bacterial SSU rRNA". It matches the Rfam family "Bacterial small subunit ribosomal RNA", at positions 355 to 786 of the family's 1533-position model. The record is from RNAcentral.
UGAGGAAUAUUGGUCAAUGGCCGGAAGGCUGAACCAGCCAAGCCGCGUGGAGGAAGAAGGCGCAGAGCGUCGCAGACUCCUUUUGUCGGGGGACAAACGGCCGCACGCGUGCGGCUCUGAGGGUACCCGAAGAAAAAGCAUCGGCUAACUCCGUGCCAGCAGCCGCGGUAAUACGGAGGAUGCGAGCGUUAUCCGGAUUCAUUGGGUUUAAAGGGUGCGUAGGCGGUGUCUUAAGCCGGCGGUGAAAUCGCGGGGCUCAACCCCGCCGAGCCGUCGGAACUGGGAUGCUCGAGUGUCGGCGAGGCAUGCGGAAUGCGCGGUGUAGCGGUGAAAAUGCAUAGAUAUCGCGCAGAACCCCGAUUGCGAAGGCAGCGUGCCAGCCGCCCACUGACGCUGAGGCACGAAAGCGCGGGUAUCGAACAGGAUUAGAUACC